UCAUAUCAUAAAAAAUUUUGACGAACGUGUUAUGUGUAUUGCAGUUCUAACAAUAAUCGUGCAUAGUCGCUAAUAAUUCUGAUAUUUUACAUAGUUCAAAGUUCGUAGUUCUCUAACGAUAAGAAAGUUGGAGAGUUCAACUAUAUGUAAUUCGUGAAAUAUCUGAUUAUUAAUAGUCCAAAACAAUGCCAAUUUUAAAAGUUCGCUGUUCUAAAAAGGUUAAUUCAAUGUCGAAAAGUCCAAAUAUUUCUUGUUUGAUUCUGUACAUUCUGUAUAUAAGAAUUUUAUUACUUUUAUUUUGCUUGUACAUUGAUGUCACAAUAAUGAAGUUUCAUACUUUUGUUAUAAAUCUUCUUAAUAUUGGACAUCCGUGAUAUAAAUUUCUUUUUCUUUGACACGCUUGAUAAUUAACGAUAGGGCAAGAUUGAACGGAUGGUAUUAACACGCCAUAUUCAAAUUUCAAAGAAACGAUAUUUCACAUUUCUCACUCUGAUAUAGCGGUCAAAAUUUUAUCAGCAUGGCUUCUGAGAGACUGAAAUAUGCACUACAUAUUUUGUAACCCUCUGUAUACUAACACAGGUUACUUGAAUGGUGCACACAACGGUACAGACUUCUAUGGAUCAUUCACGAUUUCUCCCCACCAUUGACCAUUGGUGUAUUCCGGCACGCGGUUCACACUGUUAUCCACUGCUCCAUACAAACUUACUGUACAUGUACGUUUGAAUGCAGCUUGCAUAUUGUAAAUGUCGAGGCGCCGUCGAUAACCUCCUUCCCCUCGAAAGAGUGCUCUCGCGCACGUGCACGGUCACAAGCGCGAAUACCUGUGUGCGCCCUGGGAAUCGAACGAACGGAAUUUUCGAUGGAACGCGGAGUUCGCCUGGUAUCGGCCACCGUUCUUAGCCGUAUUCUCGCCGCUGUAUUAUUCACGGAGAAUGUUCCUUCAGAGAUUAAGCCACUAUAAUCGGAUAUACGAUACAGUGAGGUUUUGUUUGGAACUAAUUUCUUAUUGUUCGUUUAUCGAAUUCGUUUUGUAUACAUACGCGAUAACAAGUAUAUUAUUAUAGUUGAUACUAAGUAUUGAAAGUUAAUUGUUAUAGUUGCUACAGUGGUUGGUGCAAUCAUGACAACGAAGUGUGAUAAUGUAUCGAUCUUGAAAAUUUGAUAUAGUAUUUAUUCUUUUCUUUUUGGCAGCAUUUGAAUCAUUGUAGCAAUUCAAAUUCCAUAGAGAAGUAAUGCAACGGAACGAUAUCUAUUACCAUUUAACAAACUGUUUGCCAUAGAGGUUACCAAUGAUCACCUUUAGAUUUAUCGAUGCUGUUAUGGGAGAUAUAGUGACCAACACUAACGAAAUUAAUUAGAAUACUUGAAUAAAAAGGGCAGUAACAAAUAUAUUCUUUCCUCGUAAAAAAUUUGUAGUAAUUUUAAUAUUGAAAUAACAGUAUAAAAUUACUUAAUGCACCAGGAAGUGCUCACAAAAUGAAGCGUGUACUCAAUUUAAAAUUACCCGGCAGUCAACGUGUUAUGCAAUAAAUGAUUUGCUACUA
Long non-coding RNA from Bombus pyrosoma, 1544 nucleotides. RefSeq lists it as uncharacterized. The record is from RefSeq and is a predicted model, not a curated record. The transcript has 2 exons. NCBI's taxonomy places the organism in Eukaryota, Metazoa, Arthropoda, Insecta, Hymenoptera, Apidae.